UACGGAGGGAGCUAGCGUUGUUCGGAAUUACUGGGCGUAAAGCGCGCGUAGGCGGACCUGCAAGUCGAGGGUGAAAGCCCGAGGCUCAACCUCGGAACUGCCUUCGAUACUGCGGGUCUCGAGUCCGGGAGAGGUGAGUGGAAUUCCUAGUGUAGAGGUGAAAUUCGUAGAUAUUAGGAAGAACACCAGUGGCGAAGGCGGCUCACUGGCCCGGUACUGACGCUGAGGCGCGAAAGCGUGGGGAGCAAACAGG
This 253-nucleotide ribosomal RNA is filed under the name uncultured bacterium. Its description in RNAcentral is "partial 16S ribosomal RNA". It matches the Rfam family "Bacterial small subunit ribosomal RNA", at positions 524 to 776 of the family's 1533-position model. The record is from RNAcentral.